AACAAAUAACUUCAUAAGACUCGUAUAAUUUUGGGGAUAUGGCCCAUAAGUUUCUACCGGAUGACCAAUGCAAUCAUCCGACUAUGAGUGAAAGUCGCAGCGGU
Molecule: non-coding RNA, 104 nt
Filed under: Paenibacillus mucilaginosus
Lineage: Bacteria; Bacillati; Bacillota; Bacilli; Caryophanales; Paenibacillaceae
Also listed under: 1 other name
Description: Guanine sequence
Rfam family: Purine riboswitch aptamer
About the family: Riboswitches are metabolite binding domains within certain messenger RNAs that serve as precision sensors for their corresponding targets. Allosteric rearrangement of mRNA structure is mediated by ligand binding, and this results in modulation of gene expression.
Source: RNAcentral